This 439-nucleotide ribosomal RNA is filed under the name uncultured bacterium. RNAcentral describes it as "bacterial SSU rRNA". It matches the Rfam family "Bacterial small subunit ribosomal RNA", at positions 339 to 794 of the family's 1533-position model. The record is from RNAcentral.
UUACGGGAGGCAGCAGUAAGGAAUAGUAGACAAUGGGCGCAAGCCUGAUCUCGCGACGCCGCGUGAGGGAUGAAGGCCUUCGGGUUGUAAACCUCUUUUUUCAGGGACGAAUAAUGACGGUACCUGGAGAAUAAGUCACGGCUAACUACGUGCCAGCAGCCGCGGUAAAACGUAGGUGGCUAACGUUAUCCGGAUUUACUGGGCGUAAAGAGUGCGUAGGUGGUCAUUCAAGUCAGAUGUAAAAUCUCCUGGCUCAACUGGGAGGGACCAUCUGACACUGCAUGGCUGGAGUACAGCAGAGGAAAGUGGAAUUCCCGGUGUAGUGGUGGAAUGCGUAGAUAUCGGGAGGAACACCAGUGGCGAAAGCGGCUUUCUGGGCUGUUACUGACACUGUUGCACAAAAGCGUGGGGAGCAAACAGGAUUAGAUACCCCGGUAGG